UGUUUGUCUUGUGGUCAUGAAAUCCCACGAAAGGUAAAUGUGCUGUUUUUACCUUACAGUUUGAUUCAUCUUCCUCUUAGGCAUUUGAUCGAACAGGUGGUGAGCUUCGUCCAAUUGCCCAUUGAGAGCACAUAAUCUGAUGACCUUUGACGCAAACAACAAAAGCUAAAUUAACUUUGCAUCCAAAAACAAAACUUUUUUCGGAAGCGGAAGUACCCAUUACCCAGUACAAAUUUACACUUAAACUAAAUAUAUUUCUACCAUAAGAAAGAGCUUCGAAGAAACCCACCAAGGUUUUUAAGAAAUAAGUUAUUUCUCACCUUUGGGAAGAGAUUCGACGCUUUAUCUCAUCCUCGUAAAAAAGUUGUUUCUCAUGUGCAAUGCCAAUGCAUCUUCGUGCAAACCCUUUUCGGCAUCUCGGACCAUAUCCGUGAAUAUUUCGUCAAAGCUGA
RNAcentral lists this long non-coding RNA (452 nucleotides) under Coffea arabica (coffee). RNAcentral's name for it is "long non-coding RNA (CARA_LNC003133)". Lineage: Eukaryota; Viridiplantae; Streptophyta; Magnoliopsida; Gentianales; Rubiaceae. The record is from RNAcentral.